GCCCGUUGGAACAAUCAUAUUUUGAGAACUGUGUAGGCAGAUAGUUUUCAUUAGCAAGCUUGUCUCUAAGCUGCUUUCUGGGAGUUAAAAACAUUCAUUUUUCCAGCAUCAGAAUUUAAUUCUUCCAUUUUUUCUUUAGUACAGAUUUUAUGUGUAACAAUACAAAUUUGAAUAAACACACAGUCCAUAGCCUUGGUGAUCUUGCAGGGAGUCGAAACCCAAGAACGGUCUCUCAGGCGGAGGUCCAAAUGUGGUGUGGAAUGUGCUACUGUGCUCAUCCGAUCAAUAAUCUGACUGAGUGGCCCGCUGCCUGGGAAAGACAGGAGAGCUGUGCAGUGACCGACUUACAUGAGCUGAGUCUUAAGGUUGAAGAGAAAUCUAUUCGGCCAAGAGAAGUCACACCAGACAGAAGCAAGCCCUCGCAAAGGCACAGAAUCCAGGCCUACUGCAGUUUACAGUACCCUGCAGGAGCAGAGGUGAAGAAGCCUUCAGAACCUCCUGGUCAUGGUCCUCACCCGUGCCCUGCCUUGAGAAGUGCUCGCAGGAUUGGGAAGAUGAACGUCGGUGAGAGCGCCUGGCUCAGAGGCCAAGGACGACUCCUACUCAACCUCACAAGCUGCUUCAGGAAGCAAUAAGACCUCGGGGAGGCGCAAUUACUAGACUCACUGACUUUGGGGAAGUGUCAGCGUCCAGAAAAUUUAACUCCUGACCCGACGGUGGAAUUGACGAAUAAAACUGUACCGACCGGGGCUGGGGAUUUAGCUCAGCGGCAAAGCGCCUGCCUGGCAAGCGCAAGGUCGUGAGUUCAGUUCCCGGUACCGGAGAAAAACCAAAACCAAACCAAAACAAAACAAAACAAAACUGUACCGACCAACCUGAAACAUGAAUAGCAACCUACUAUAUCAUAUAGAGGGGUGUUGCUAGAACAACAUGCAAAGGCAGGAGAAAAGACGUAAUCGAAGUAAAAAUUCCAGGGACGCUAACCAGUUGAGGUACAGGAGACAUGACAGUCUGGACAACCUAUAUUUACCUAAGAAAUAGCUUGAAUGUCUUUCACAAUUAUGAUGUAUAUGUAAAUAUUAUUAAAAUUAAAUUUCCACUGCAUUUGAUCAUGCUAUCCACUAGUGGUAUUAAUGUAGAACAUUUCUCCACUCGGAUUAAGUGCAUGGGGGCAGGGGCAGGCCUUUUUUGCAGAUGUGUUUGUUCUCAUUGAAAAUAUUUUAAGCCCUGUAAGCUUUACAAAAAAUGAAAUGCU
RNAcentral lists this long non-coding RNA (1255 nucleotides) under Chinchilla lanigera (long-tailed chinchilla). Its description in RNAcentral is "lncRNA (ENSCLAG00000022362.1)". The record is from RNAcentral. Lineage: Eukaryota; Metazoa; Chordata; Mammalia; Rodentia; Chinchillidae.